Molecule: long non-coding RNA, 2719 nt
Filed under: Triticum aestivum (bread wheat)
Lineage: Eukaryota; Viridiplantae; Streptophyta; Magnoliopsida; Poales; Poaceae
Description: long non-coding RNA (TAES_LNC008232)
Source: RNAcentral
UGAAGAGAUAGUCAAGUUUAUUCAUAGAAUGUAUUUUGGUAUAUACAGAGAAACCAACAUAUCUGCCAAUUGGCAGGCAGGAUAGCUCUUUUGUAUGAUCAUAACACUGUAUUAGAAAAGAGAACGUAGAGAUGAUACAUAUUUUGCAUGAUCACAGCAUUCAUUCAAAAAAGGGAUAGGGCAUGGUUUGCCAUGCAUCACGUGUGAAAAUGAUGGGCAGAUGGAAUCAAAGAACAAAAUUGACAUUUGAUAAGGAGAGCAUAGAACACUGACAACAUUUAACAGGAGGGCAUAGCAAAAAGAUGUUCCACUGCUUUAUGAGGAACAACAUGAUCAAGCUUGAACUCAUAUGUUACACGAGUGUAAGCAAAGCCGAAGGCCACACGAUUUAAAUACUUGGUUCUAAGUAGAUGAUAGAAGCCUGCCUUUUGACAGAUGUAAUGACGGUCGGAAGCUGCAGGGAGGAACUUUCAAUAUGGUGACAUAUCUUAUAGAUGAUAUAGAAAAUGACCAUAGAAAGUUUAAAGUGAAAUGUAAAAUAAAUCCAAAUAAUAUAAUGGGAUCGAUGUAAACUUGCAUAGAAAACUGUUAAAUGGCUAAUUGCAAAUUGGAUCAAAGGAGGAUGUAGGAGGCAGAUGUCCGGCUGGAACUAUUCCUAUGUAUGUAGUUUCAGUUUUAGAUUUGUGAGCUACUCCUAUGCAUCUAGUUUCAUCUUAGUGAGAAUGCAUAAUUGACCUUUCAACUUGUUUUGAACACGUCCUAUUUGAACUGUAACUUUUUUACCUGAUACUUGCACAGAUCAAGUAGUACAAAUUGGUGAAGAAAAGCUCAGGUAUCUGAACCUUUUUGCAAACAAAGUUAAGGUUUACAACGUGAGUUUUAUAGCCUAAUCUAAAAAAUUACAGCUUAAUUUAACUUUUACCGCCUAAAUUUUAUAGAUCAAGUAGUACAAGUUGGGGAAAAAGUUCAGGUUUCAGUACCUAACAGGCAAAUUGGAACAGAACUAAAAAUUCAAUAGAAAAGCUCAUGUUUCAGUACCUAACAAAUGACGAACUGGUUUUCAAUGAUGGUAACCAAAUUGGAAUAAAACUUAAGUUCACUAAAAAAUUGAACAAAACGUAAGUAAAGUUUGCUGAAAAGUUCACUAAAUAACAUGAAAUGCAUAAACAUCCAGUACAUUAUAAGCUCCAUCAAAAUAGCAAAUUCAUUUGUUUCAGUACCUAAUAGGAAAGCAUCGAGCAAGUUUAGUACAUAAGAGGUUCAGUACAUAAAUUUAUUAGCUAGUUCAUAUAUGAACUCCAACAAAGUAUCCAGUUCAUAACAGGGUUAACAGGGAAUAUUUAUGUUGCACAUAUAUGAAGCUGAGUUAUAAUGGAUAAAAGGAUGACAACAGAUAAUAGUGACAUUAGAGGGUAAACAGGGCUCGCCGGGCACUAAUUAUGUUGUAGCACAAAAUACUAAUAAAUAGUAACUCUAAAGAUCAGUUAGGGGCUGAGGAAGGAAUUGUAAUUAGCAAUGUCAGAAGAUUAAGCAAAGAGGCACUGUGAUUAUAUUGAAAAGAGAGACUCCAGCACCAAAUAAUUAGAUCUUCGGAUCAUUUAGACAUCUGAUUAGAUUUCUCAAAUAAGAAAAAUGUAGAAGAGCAAUUGUUUAAUUCAAGGAUACACUCAAACAGUCCAAAAUGUUUCAUAAUGUAAAUGAUAUGAUGCUCCCAGGCUUAAUGUGAACAAGCACUAUGUUGGAAUUUAAUUUUCAAGAUAACACACAACGAACAUUGUGAUACUGUGGAUGUGAAUCCUACCAAUAGUGUUGUAUUUCAAUAGUAGAAUGUGGUUGUAGUGUUGGACACAAGUUCAUUAUGAUAGAUGAGGUCUCAUGGCACUACAUGCAAAUGUAGACCAUCUAGGUAUCAAAUGCACAAUAAAGAGCACACAAAAGAAAUGCCUGUUUUGGUGAAGAUUAACAGUAACUUUGAUGUAGUAUGAACCUCAAGCUUUCCAAAAAGCGCUCAGUUUGAAAUCUGGUAAAUUAAACUCCAAGACUAAAAUAAACAUGUGUAAGUUCAGUUUUGGAUGGGCUAAUAUAGAUGGAAUCGCCCACCAUUUAUAGAAAUUGAUAAUUAAAUUAACCCCUCUUAGUCUCAGAUACACCUCACAUGAGCCACUAUUUUGUGUUUUUGUACAGACUGGCAAUGAACCACUAUUUUGGAAGUCUAAUACCAUAAUCACUAAGAGACAUAUAUCAGCGAUAGUAAUAAGAAAAAACACAAUAUAAAAAAACAUUUUGUAGCAGGGCAGAUCAGGAUACGAUGUGAGAAAAUAAUUGGUUUGUUCUUCCUUUUGAUUUCAACACAAUAUUCCCUCACUAACAUGUUUACCUUCCUCUGCUCCAUUCCCAACUGACAUAUGUCUGCCUGCACAAAGCAACGGAUCAGAGAGAAUGAAUGGCAAUAAAAAAAUCUGGAAUAAAGGUAUACCACACUACAAUAUCGGGUGAAAUCAGAAAACAUCAGUAACCUUAUUUACAUUAUGUCAGUACUACUAACUUCGACUUUAGCUAGGGUUGUCCGCAAUAUGAAUAUAUACUAACCUUCAGGAAGAAUAUAUCGGGUGUCCAAGCUCGCUAUCUUGCCAGUUGCCACACCACUCUUAUCCGAGAAGAGAGCUCAACAACUACACGAGUGACCGACGUGUGGAGCAGGAUGUAGUCAAUGGGAUCC